Molecule: transfer RNA, 68 nt
Filed under: Lamprotula cornuumlunae
Lineage: Eukaryota; Metazoa; Mollusca; Bivalvia; Unionida; Unionidae
Description: tRNA-Gln
Source: RNAcentral
UUGAAGGCUAGUGGUUUUCACGAAUGAGUUUGGAUCAUUAGAUGGAGUUAAAGUCUCCGCCUUUAAUC